RNAcentral lists this unclassified non-coding RNA (430 nucleotides) under soil metagenome. Its description in RNAcentral is "partial contains 5.8S ribosomal RNA, internal transcribed spacer 2, and large subunit ribosomal RNA". The stretch from base 1 to 120 matches the Rfam family "5.8S ribosomal RNA", at positions 35 to 154 of the family's 154-position model. The record is from RNAcentral.
GAUGAAGAACGUAGCGAAAUGCGAUACGUAAUGUGAAUUGCAGAAUUCAGUGAAUCAUCGAAUCUUUGAACGCAUAUUGCGCUCUCUGGUAUUCCGGAGAGCAUGCUUGUUUGAGUAUCAGUAAACACCUCAACUCCCUUUUCUUUUUUGAAAUUGGAGCUGGACUUGAGUGAUCCCAACGCUUUCUUCCAAGAAAGUGGCGGGUUGCUUGAAAUGCAGGUGCAGCUGAACUUUUCUCUGAGCUAUAAGCAUAUCUAUUUAGUCUGCCUAAAAAACAGAUUAUUACCUUUGCUGCAGCUAACAUAAAGGAGACUAGUUCUUGUGCUGACUGAUGCAGGAUUCACAGAGACAGCUUCGGCUGACUUUGUAAACUCGAUCUCAAAUCAAGUAAGACUACCAGCUGAACUUAAGCAUAUCAAUAAGCGGAGGA